Molecule: non-coding RNA, 21445 nt
Organism: Callithrix jacchus (white-tufted-ear marmoset)
Lineage: Eukaryota; Metazoa; Chordata; Mammalia; Primates; Cebidae
Source: RefSeq, a predicted model, not a curated record
GCAGGCCCCACUCUACAAAGAGGUUGUGUUCAGAAAGUUUCUUUGUGUAUGUUGUUUGUUUCCAACACAGAAUGCAUUUUUCACUGGAAACAAUGUUCCCAGACUAGCCCACAAAAGCCUAUUUAACCCACUAUGCUAAGUAGAAAACAAAAUGAGCUGAAAUUCUAGGAAAUACAACAGGGAAACUGAGGAAGAAAUACAAUUUAAGUGUUUAAGUGUUUAUGCUGAGUAUUGGUGCUUGGUGAAAAGCAGCUUCCAACAAAGAAGAAUGAAGCAGCAGAGGUCAGGGGCGUGGAAGAUUCAGGGAGCGGAGUGGAGGCCCAGGCGUCAUGGCCAAGCUGCAGCUCUACAUCUGACAGGGCUGUGGACCAAAGCCCAGCGUGUCCUGGAGCAGCUAGGCCUGGGCUGGUCUGAGCAUUCCUGCAGAUUCCUGCAGAUCCACACCACACAGAGGGCAGGCGGGGCUGACACAGACACUUCUCCCCAGUGAAUUCUGGAGGCUGGAGUCAACCUAUAAGAAUUCUUCCAUGAAGCCAAAAUUGGAGUAUACGACAGGGGUGGCUCCCGGGCUUCAUGGAGUUCCGCAGAGAGCUUCUGCCUCCUGGGUUAUAGAUUGGGUUUCACCAUGUUGCCCAGGCUCGUCUCGAACUCCUGGCCUCAAGCAGUCAUCCAACCUGAGAUUACAAGCAUGAGCCACUGUGCUUGGCCAAAGCCUGUAUUUCUAAAUGAGAUCACAUUCCGAGGUUCUGGGGUCAGGGUUUGGACACCAUUGAACCCAUAACAGUAACAGUUCUUUCUCUCAAACAUUCUCCAAAGUAAGAAAAGUGUUUUACAUUUUGCUAUCUAAAGUCUCUUCCCUGCAAGAUGUUAUGAUCAAAGAGUUGGUUGCUUAUCAAGAAUGUGUGGAUACAAAAACUUCAACUCAAGUUGGUUCUGUUUGUGAGUAAAGUUGAAAACAAAUUCUUUGCUUUGUUUAAAGAGGGAAGCAUGUUACAAACUGUCUCAUUUCCAGUGAACUGUUCACUGCCUUCCACCCACACAAGCACAAGACAACACUCCUGGUGGCUCUUGCUGACAGCAGAACCUCUUACUGGGUCUUGAUUUCAAAGGAUCAUCAGAAUUUAUCCUCAUGGUUUCUGGUCUUCACUAGACAGCAAAGUUUCUUUUUACUUAUUGAAGUCAAGCAUACCUGGGUUCAGAUUCAAGCUCUAUCACCAACAGCCAGUUAGUAUGCUGAUGUCUCAGCCUCAGUUGUCAUCUGUAUGAGGGUGAUAACACCUCGUGGGCUGGUGGUGAGAUCUGGAGUGCCUAAUGCCUGGUAGUCAGUCCGCAAUUCAUGGUGCUCUUAUCAUGGGAGAAUAAUAUUUGGGGAAAUUUGAAGGACCUUUUCUAUCACUUGUUUGAGGCCUUCUGCACAUACCCUUCCAAGGUCAGAACAGUGGGCCUGUACCUCAUAUCAGCAGAGAAAAAGGUGUAAUUUGAAUGUGGCCUUUGGUUCUUAAACACACAGAAAUGUCAAAGGAGGAGGUAUUGUUUCUGGCCAUCUAUCCGCCUUUCUGAUCUGAAAUAGCAACAGUUUACUGUGCACAAAUGAGAUCAAUGCAGAAGAGAAGCAACUAUCCUUGGGGAGAGAAUGCUAAGUUUCGGGCUUGGGGUGCAAAGGCAGGAGUGGGUCUGGAGACAACCCUGGUGUCAGGCCAGAGGUGGUGGGGCCAGGGGCACACUGAGAUGUUAGGCAGGCAUGAUGGAGGAGACAGCCUCCGUGAGGAAAGCAGGGCAAGUAUGAGCAGAGGAUGGCAGAGAUGCUGAAGACAGGGCAGCCUCCUGCCUUUUAGAAUUUUGCCCAGGCCUGCCCUGCUGGGUAGACUUCAUUUUAAACUUUAUUUUUAAAUUCUUUUUUUGAGAUGGAGUCUCUCUGUCGCCCAGGCUGGAGUGCAGUGGCGUAAUCUUGGCUCAUUGCAACCUCUGUCUUCCAGGUUCAAGCGAUUCUCCCUCCUCCUGAAUACCAGGGAUUACAGGUGCCAGCUACCCCGCCUGGCUAAUUUUUGUAUUUUUAGUAGAGAUGGGGCUGGCCAGGCUGGUCUUGAACUCCCAACCUUGUGAUCUGCCUUCCUCAGCUUCCCAAAGUGCUGGGAUUACAGACGUGAGCCACUGCGCCCAGCCCUUCAUUUUAAACUUUGAAUUCCUUCCCUAAUUAUGAUUCCUCUACUCUGGCAGGAAGCUCCUCUCCAAGUGCCAGCUUCUUCAACACAAAGAUGCUUAAAACCCAAGGCCCCCCUCAUAAACUGAUUGGAACACGUAAGCAAUAGAUCAAGAGCAACUAUAAAAGUCUUGAAUGUGUUCCUUGAGGGACAUAUUAAAAAACCUUUGAGGGCACAUUCCCUCUUGCCUGGAGCUUUGGAAGGGGCAGUCUAUAAUUCGGGAAAGGACUCAGGCAGGUCUGUGGGAGCCAAAUUGCAUCAGCCCUACUUUCAAAAGUGUUAUCUUUUGCUCUUUGUGAUUGUAGCUGAAUUAGUUGAGUUGUGGUAAUAAAGGGAUAAGUGUCUAAUUACAUGUGAGUAUGCUCCUCAUCCCUCAAAGACAAUAUCCAGAUGUCCUUUAUAUCCCAAAUGCAUUAUUACCUUCGAAGUUUUCUACGUUUUUGAUACAAUGAUUGUCACCCAAUAACUUAAUGCAUUAACAAUGAGUUUUCUAGACAAAGUAUAAAUCCAGGUCAUUUCUUUUCUCCAAGCCUGGUUUAUCAUGUGAAAGAAGGUUGAAGGAGCAACAGCUAAGGCUUCUGAUUGUGAUCAAAUACUACAUCUUGAAAAGCAAUGGCCCCAGGCGUCUGUGGUGGGGAUUAACACAGAGCAGUGUGCAGCCAGCGGUAAUAAGCAGGUGAAAGUGGCUAAAAUGUGCAUCAAGUACUCCCUCAAAGGGGAAGAAUCCAUCCAGACACUCUUUUCAUUAAGCAAACACGUAUUGAGCACCCAGAAUGCAUGAAGGAACAAUGAAGAAAAGACUCACUUCUGAAAGUGCUCCCAAGGCGAGGCAGGUGGAGGCAGACCACAAGACCUCUUGGAAGGAUGAGUGCUGGGAGAUUUUUCCAGCGAUUGGUAUUCUGCAGCAGCUGCCUCACAGAGCCUGGAGAGCUCCAGCAAGGAUGGGCCGGAACUCCAGCUGCUGGUGAGCAAGUGUUCACUAUUUAUAGCGGGUGGGGGGCUGCGAAGGAAUGGAAUUUUUUCCUUCUGAGUAGGGUUGAUGCAACCAAAAGGAAGUGGGCUCUGAUGGAUAGUAAAGGAGAUUACAUGGAUAUGUAUAGCCUAUUACAGUACCUCUGAUACUCCAGCGUGCUUCAGAAUCACCUGGGGGCGCUUGGUGAAAGACAGAUCGUGGGGCCCCACCCCCAGAGUUCCUGAUUCACUGUGUAUCUUAGUCGGUUUGGGCUACUAAAACAAAGUACCACAGACCAGGUGGCUUAAACAACAAACAUUUAUUUCGCACAGGUCAGGAGGUUGAGAUGUCCAAGAUCAAGAUGCUGGCAGAUUUGGUGUUUGAUGAGGGCCUGUUUUUGGUUUAUAGACAAUGCCUUGCUCACUAUGUUCUCACAUGGCAGAAGGGGUGUGGGAGCUCCCUAGGGCUUCUUUUACAAGGGCACUCAUCCUCUUCCUGAGAAAUCUGUCCUCAUGACCCAAUCACCUUGAAAAGGCCCCACCUCCUAGUACCAUCAUCAGCUUAAGGAGAUGAACAGGGUGAAAAUGGGGUAAGGUAAUCAUGAAAAUUAUCUUUGUGGGAGACACAGACAUUCAGUCCAAUACAGUAGUGAAUGGCCCCAAAAUGUGCUGAUGUUGCUUGUUCAGAGACCAUACUUUAAGAACUGCUGCUCUUUUUUUUUCUUUUUAGACAGGAUCUCACUCUGUCACCAAGGCUGGAGUGCAGUGGGGCAAUCUUGGCUCAUUGCAACCUCUGCCUCCUGAAUUCAAGCGAUUCUCCUAUCUCAGUCUUUCGAGUAGCUGGGAUUACAGGCACAUGCCACCAUGCCCGGCUAAUUUUUUUUGUAUUUUUAGUAGAGAUGAGGUUUCUCUAUGUUGAUCAGGCUGGUCUUAAACUCCUGACCUCAGGUGAUCUGCCUGCCUCAGCCUCCCAAAGUGCUGGAAUUACAGGAAUGAGCCACCUCGCCUGGCCCACUGCUGUAUUUUAACAAGCGGGUUGUACGGGGAAAGAGUCAUUGUAUAUAGCAGCAGAUUGAACCAAAAGAAAGCAUUGACAUGCACCAAAAGACUCUGGUGAUCUUACUGACUGUCAAAUUAAAAUCAGUUGUUUCUGGGCCAGCAUUUCCAGGGCAAAGGCCUCAUUUUAUAAAUAAAGAAAACUUCACAAAAUGUAAAGGUUAGGACUCAUAAGGAAUAUAUAUCCACAUAAUUUAAUAAAAAUUAUUUUUAUUUCUCUUUCUUCUUGCUCCAGUGAAAAAUGCAGUUAAUUUGGUCAUCUGAUGACAUUAUACUGUUUGGAGUGAAGGCUGGCAAACUUGACCUCCUCUUUUAACUCCGAGCAGAGUCUAGCAUGGGUCUGGGGUUAAUGAGGCUGCCUCAGUCUUUGAUUAAGAGCCAGGGGAAAGCGAGUGGGUGUGCUCUGGAAGAAUGUGGCUUAUCUGCUGAGUAGACCAAGACCUUAGCUUUGACUUCCCGGUUUCUUGCAUGAGAUUGGCUUGUUCAGAAAAACCUUUGGUUCAGGUUUUUCUUUUAGAUUGAAUUUUGAUAUUUUACAUUUUCCUCAAAAAUUGUCCAUUUCACUCUGAUUUUUAAACUAUAGUUGUGCAAAUAAUUCUUUUAUAAGAAUUAUAGUUUCCUAUAUAUAGGUUAAUCUGUUAGUAUUUCCCCCUAUUUUUUAAAAUUAGACUAUAACCAGCUGACAGGUUCACUUUGCCCGCUGCCUAGACAGAGUUGAUUUAUCAAGACAGGGGAAUUGCAAUAGAGAAAGAGUAAUUAACACAGAACCGGCUGUGUGGGAGAGCAGAGUUGUUUUAUUUUACUUUAUUUUUUAUGUUUUGAGAUGUAGUCUUGCCCUAUUGCCAGGCUGGAGUGCAGUGGCCUGAUCUCGGCUCACUGCAACCUCUGCCUCUUGGUUCAAGCAAAUCCCGUCUCAGCCUCCUGAGUAGCUGGGACUAUAGGUGCCUGCCACCAUGCCUGGCUAAUUUUUUGUAUUUUAGUAGAGAUGGGAUUUCACCAUGUUGGCCAGGAUGGUCUCGAUCUUCUGACCUUGUGAUCUGCCUGCCUCGGCCUCCCAAAGUGCUGGGAUUGUAGGCAUGAGCCACCAUGUCUGGCUAGAGCUGUUUUAUUAUUACAAAUCAGUCUCCCUGAGCAUUCGAAGAUCAGAGUUUUUAAGGAAAAUUUGGUGGCUGGGGAGUGGAGAGUCAGGUCAGAGAUGAAAUCAUAGGGAGUUGAAGCUGUUUUCUUGCGCUGUUCAAGACCAGCUAAUGGAUUAUUUAUUAUUGUUGCUGGUUGUUUUUUUUCACCUCAGUGAACCAGCUCUUGGAUUUCUUUAUCCAUGUGAAGAACUGCAAAGGACCCCAGAUUUUUUUUUCUCCUACUUGCAAGCUAACAAGUUAGUCUGCCUGUGGUCUCCUAGGUGAGAGGUUUGUGCCAGUUCCCUAACCCCAGUUCCACCUACCACCAUGAAAGUCUCAUGAUAUCUGCACACAUAGUGGGGUACAGGAGAAAAAUUUAAGUCCUAAAUUUAGGGAACUGGAAUCUUUUAUACUAGACAGUAAGCUGGGUGCUUGGUUUUUGGUAAAGAUACUCUCUUUGUCUUGCAAAGCUGUUUGUUUGCUAUACAAACCUCCCUGAAAAAAAUAGUCCACAAGAAAGGCAGCCAGUGCCUCUGCCUCUGCCCCUGUCCUGAGGUAUGCAGGAACCAAGAGAUGCUGGAGAACUGUCUCCCAACAAUCAAUCCCACUGAUUUUGUCUCUCUUUCUUCCUUUCUUUCUUUCCUUCCUUCCUUUUCUCCUUUCUUUCUUUCUUUCUUUCCUUUCUCCUUCCUUCCUUCCUUCCCUCCGUUUUCUUUCUGGAUCUCAUUCUGUUGCUCAGCCUGAGUGUGGUACAAUCCUAACUCACUGCAGCCUUGAACUCCUGGGCUUCAGUGAUCCUCCCACCUCAGCCUCUUGAGUAGCUAGGGCUAUGAGCACAUGCCACCAUGCCUGGCUAAUUUUUUUAACUUUUCUGUAGAGAUAGGGGUCUUACCAUGUUGCCUAAGGCUCGUCUUGAACACUGUUUUCAAACCAAUUAUAUUCUUUCAUUUUUAGUUUCUUCCUUCUACUUUCCUUAUAUUUUAAAAAAUAUUUUUCUGUUUUCUUGAGUUGAAUAAUUACUUCCUUCACCUUCACUGUACUUAAGCUAAAAUGAUUUUAAGGUUGUGACUUUUUCUUCGACCAAAUAUUUGACUACAUUUCAUAAGGUUUAAUAAGUAGUGUUUUCCUUAUCAUUAUUUGCUAAAUUAUCUAGCUUUUCCCUGUUAUUUAUGGAAGUCAAAGGUUUUAUUUAUUUAUUUAUUGAGACAGAGCCACUCUCUGUCACCCAGGCUAGAGUGCAAUGGCAUGAUCUCAGCUCAUUGCAACCUCUGUUUCUGAGUUCAAGCGAUUCUUGUGUUUCAGCCUCCUGAGUAGCUGGGAUCAUGGGUGUGUGUACUGUGCCCAGCUAAUUUUUGUAUUUUUAGCAGAGAUGGGGUUUCACCAUGUUGGCUAGGCUGGUCUUGAACUCCUGACCUCAGUUGAUCUGCUCGCCUCAGCCUCCCAAAGUGCUGGGAUUACAAGUGUGAACCACUGAGCCUGGGCAGCAGUCAAAGGUUUUAAACAAAAUUAAUCAACCAUCUUUAGAUUCCCUUGCUCUCUUGGUUUGCUCUGGAAGCUACUUUCGUUUCCUAAGAGGUUUGUAGAUUAAAGCUAUAAAGCCCUUUAACAGGAUCUCUGUGACUUUUGUGUUUACUUGUACUUCAUUGCAAUUUAGGAGGAAAUGGAAUGUGGAAGAUAAAAGUCCAAGUCCUGACUCUACUACUUUGUGCUGGUAACCAAAUAUAUAACGCACUUUGAGUCUCACUUUUGUUUACAAAUGUAGGCUUGAACUUCAUUAUCUCUGAAGUCCUUUUCAAUUUAUGACUCUAAGAGAUUUUUGAAUUAAUUUCAAUUAAACUGGUUUAAUGAUUUCUAGGCUGACUUGUUAGUUGAGGCAGCAUGGCCAUAGAAACCGGUGAAGCUGGGUUCAACCCAUGCUGUGGGUGAGCAAAUGCUUCCAUUUCCUCACGUUUUCUUCUGUGACUCUCACGGAGGAGAGAAAAAAUCCACAUGGCAUUAGGGGCUCAUUUCCUCCCCUUUGGUGGCAUCUUGCCUGGGUUAGCUAAAGGGACAAAGAAGCUGAUGGCAGAGACUGAGCUCUGCAGCCUGUCCUUUCUACCAAGGCCAUUUCCUGGCUUGAGAAGCUCUAGCACUACAGUGUUAGCUAGAUGUUCAUCUGAGUAUUAGUCAGUUCUCACGCUGCUAGUAAAGGCGUACCCUAGACCAGGUAAUUUGUAAAGGAAAGAGGUGUAAUUGACUCACAGUUCCACAUGGCUGGGGAGACCUCACAAUCAUGGCAGAAGGUGAAUGAGAAGCAAAGUCAUAUUUUACAUGGUGGCAGGCAAGAGAGCUUGUGCAGGGGAACUCCCCUCGAUACAACCAUCAGAUCUUGUGAGACUUAUUCACUACCACGAGAACAAUAUGGGGGAAACCACCCCCAUGAUUCAGUAAUCUCCACCUGGCCUCACCCAUGACACGUGGAGUUAUUACAAUUCAGGGUGACUUGGGUGGGGACACAGCUAAACCAUAUCACCCUGCUUUUUUCUCUUUCUGUGUGUGCAGCACAACAGGGUCCUGACCAUCUUGUAACAGCCCAGGGGGUUCCCUUUCCCUGCUGCCCAGACAGAGCCAAUUUAUCAAGGCGCGAAUCACAAUGGAGAAAGAGUAAUUCAUGAAGAGCCAGCUGUGCAGGAGGCUGGAGUUUUAUUAUUAUUCAAAGCAGUCUCCCUGAGCAUUUCAGGAUCAGAGUUUUUAAAGACAAUUUGGCGGGUAGGGCCUUGGGAAUGGGGAGUGCUGACUGGUCAAGUUGGUGAUGGAAUCAUAGCGGGGUUGAAGUCAAGUUUUCUUGUGUCUUCUGUUCCUGGGUGGGAUCACAGAGCUGGUUGAGACAGAUUACCAGUCUGGGUGGUGUCAGCUGAUCCAUCCAGUGCAGGGUCUGCAGAAUAUCUCAAGCACUGAUCUAAGGUUUUACAGUGGUAAUGUUAUACCCCAGGAACAAUUUGGGAGAGGUUCAGACUCUUGCAGCCAGAAGCUGCCUGACCCCUAAACCACAAUUUUUUAAUCUUGUAGCUAAUUUGUUAGUCCUACAACAGCAGACCAGUUCCCAGGCAAGAAGGGAAUCUUACAAGGAAAGGGCUAUUAGCAAUUUUGUUUCAGAGGCAAACCAUAAACUGAAUUCCUUCCCAAGGUUAGUUCGGCCUACUGCCCAAGGAUGAACAAGGACCGUUUAAAGGUUAGAAGCAAGAUGGAGUUGGUAAGGUUACAGUUUUUAUAAAGGUGGUUUCCCUCUCUUGGGAUCUUUCCAUGGUGUGUCUGUCCCCUGUGCUGGGGGCUCUCUCUAGGGAUAAGGGGACCUCAGAGCCUAAUGAACACCCUGCUACUUCUCUGCUCAUUUUCCCUAUUUUUAACGUACGGCAUAAGCACUGCUAAUGUGUGUGUUUCUGUCCUUUCUGCACAGUCCGUAGUAUUUGAUGAGCAUCAUGCUAAAUGCUUUACCUCAUCUCAUUUAAUUCUGAUUACAAGAAUGAUAGUUACAUAUAUUAUUCCCAUUUUACCAAUAGGGAAACCUGGUGCUCAGAAAACUUAAGCCAUUUGCCCAAGGUCAGCUGCUGGAAGAUGCAGAGCUAGAGGCUGAAUUCAAAUUGUUUGGUUACUAAGCCACAUGAUUUUAACUCUAAGAGAGUCCGAUAAACAUCUUAGACAUCACAGAUGAUUUUCCUGCAGAUGGUGCUAAAGGGUCUUAUUCAAACAGAAUUAGUAUAUUAUGACAAUUUUUUCAACAGAUGAAGAUAAAGCAUAAGGGCCACUUCUUCUAAUUUGUCCAAAAGUCCCAUGUGGACUGGCAGCAGCCCUGUUAUAAUAUGACUCUCUCUGAGGAGGUAACUAAUACUGCUAAAAGAAAAACUUUGGCUGGGGGUGGUAGCUCACACCUGUAAUCCCAGAACUUUGGGAGGCAGAGGCGAUAGGAUCACCUGAGGUCAGGAGUUCGUGACCAGCCUGGCCAACAUGUCGAAACUCUGUCUCUACUAAAAAUACAAAAAAUUAGCUAGGUGUGGUGGCAGGUGCCUAUAAUCCCAGCUACUCAGGAGGCUGAAGCAGGAGAAUUUCUUGAACCCGGGAGGCAGAGGCUGCAGUGAGCUAAGAUUACCCCAUUGUACUCCAGCCUGGGCAACAGAGUAAGACUUCGUCUCAAAAAAAAAAAAAAAAAAAGAAAGAAAGAAAGAAAAGAAAAAAGAAAAAGAAAAACCUCAGCUGACUUAAAUUUAAAGCAGUUUAAUUAAGCAAUGAACAAUUUGCUAAUCAGGCUGCUAAUCAGGCAGCCCCCAGAAUCACAGCAGACUCAAGAGACUACAGCACAGCCACAUUGUGGAAGAAGAAAAGGAAAUGGGAAAUGGAAGUGAGGGACAGAAAGAGCUGGAUUGGUUAUAGCUCCAUGUCUGCCUUAUUUGAAUAAGUUGGAACAGUUGGUUACAUUUGAUUGGCCAAAACUCAGUGAGUGGCACAUGCGUGGGCUAUAGUUGGUUUACACCUCCACUUGUUAUAGUUCACAAUGUACGGAAAAACUUUUAGGCCGAACUUGAAUAUGUAAGGAGGAAGCUUUAGGCUAAACUUAACAGUACAUCAUGAGGAAAGUGCCUUUUUAAGAAAUGAAAUGUUAAAUUUAAGAUAAUUCAGCACUCAUGAGAGUGCUACAGGUGGCAGUUCAGAGAAGCCAACACAUUGACCUUGGAGGUCUUCUGGUGAACGUUUUCUGUUUCUUUCUUUUUUUUUUUGAGAUGGAGUCUGGCUCUGUUGCCCAGGCUGGAGUGCAGUGAUGUGAUCUCAGCUUACUGCAACCUCCCAGGUUCAAGUGAUUCUCUUGCCUCUGCCUCUGGAGUAGCUGAGAUUACAAGUGGGUGCCACCACAACUGGCUACUUUGUAUAGUUUUAGUAGAGAUGAGGCUUCACCAUGUUGGCCAAGGUGGUCUUGAACUCCUGACCUCAAGUGAUCUGCCUUGCCUUGGACUCUCAAAGUGCUGGGAUUACAGGUGUGAGCCAUUGCGCCGGGCCUCAGGGUGGACCAUUUGAGACAAUCACAACUUCUUACUCUUUCCUUACUGCUCUGUUGAUACUUGCUUCCCAGAUCUAGUGGGGGAAAUUAUAGGCAACUAGGUGUCCAUAAGAGUUCCACAGCAUUGCUGCUUGAAGGAAAUAAUUUGUUCUAUUGUUGAUAUGGAAGUUGAUGAUUAACAACUUUUUUUUAAGGCAGAUGGGAGCAAUCUUCAUUUUUAAGAAGUUAGCUCUAUUAUGUUUCAUGAGCUAAAAAUGACCCUUUGGAUCCAGAAUGCAUAGAUCCAGAUGGGGCUGUAGAGAUCCCCUACCUUCCUGACAGCAUUUUGUUACAAAAUAUCCUUUAAUUCUUUUCCAUACAGCUCAAAUGUCCUACUUCCACAUGCUAUUUUCAGUUUUUUGUGAGCAAAAUACUCUUCUGAGAUCUGCCAGCACUCACAUUAACUCAUUCUCUUCUUUUCUCCAUGCUCAGCAAAUGAUGGAUUUUUCUGGAGUCCAACGGGACCCCAGCCUUCUAGACUCUCUCUUGACUUGACUUUCGUUUGGUUUAAACAGAGUAUCACUUCAGGAGAGCCAGCAGCCUUCAGAGUGCCUGGAGGACCUGUGAGAGUGAAUCCAUGUAUGCACACUUUCCACACCCUGGCGUGUACUGCAUGUAUCCACCUCUGGGCAAUGUGCCUCCCAAGUGAGAGUGAUGCUCACAUGGGCUUGUAAAGGCAGGGGCAAGACAUUGUGGUCAGACUCUACAACCAUAUGUUUAAACGCCCAUUCAUGCAGAUGCUGAGAAAGCCACACAGAAACACACACACAGCCAUAGAGAAACAGACAUAUUACCUAGAGAAAGCAGAUGGAUGCAUGGGGGUCUUCCUGUAAUAGGCACAUGAAAGCCCUCAUGGCUCUUGAGUUAAAAGAAUGCCAGGCUGGGCAUGGUGGGUUACUCCUAUAAUCCCAGCACUUUGGGAGGCUGAGGCAAGUGGAUCAUGAGGUCUGGAGUUCGAGAGCAGCCUGGCCAACAUGGUAAAACCCUGUCUCUGCUAAAAAUACAAAAAAUUAGCCUGGCAUAUGUCUAUAAUCCCAGCUACUUGGAAGGCUGAGGCAGGGGAACUGCUUGAACCCAGGAGGCAGAGGUUGCAGUGAGCCAAGGUCAUGCCAUGCACUCCAGCUUGGGCGACAGAGCAAGACUCCGUCUCGAGGAAAGAAAAAAAAAAGAAUGCCAGGAACUAGGAGAAAGGUAAAAUACGCACAAGCUCAAGAAUGAGAAAACUGCCUUGUCCUGAUGAGAAUAAGUCAUGGACAGCCAAAAGCAAAAUAAUAAGGCCCUGGAAUUUGGUAUAAACGCAGUGCCUCACUUGUAAUCUAGGACAAGAAAUGUGAUUCCCCAUCACAACCCAGACUGAGCGCUGUGAUGACUCAGGAAUGCCCCGAGUGGGAAAGUGGCUUCAUGUCAGUUAUAUAUAUGACUUGUAUGAAUAUCUCUUUAAUCUGUUUAUUUACCAUUUUGCUAAUUCCAAGUUCUUCUAAAUUAGUGUUCUGAUAAUUAACUGGGCUUCCUGAGAGGUCUCUAAGUACUGCUCAACUCUGUAGAAUUUCAAUAAUACCAAAGAUAGUUCCCCUUGGCACUUUGGUGGGGAUAUUCUCUAGGGAAAUAUUAAAUCAGCUAUAUCUUCCACUACAAAAUAAUAAAUAUUUCCUGGUGUAUAAAUUAGUCCUCUGAGGGUUUGCUUAAUAUAAAUUUAUCUAGUAGAAUUUGAAUUAAGAAAACUGUUUUCUUUUCUCUUUAACAUCAGCCAAAAUGGCACUUCCUCAGGAAUUCAUUCCCAGCCUCUCAGAAGUAAUCCCAUAGCUUUCAUGCAUUCAUUUAUUCAUUCAUUCUUUUGACAAAUACUUAUUUAGCACUGAAUAUGUGUGAGACCCCAUUCUAGGUACAUCAAUGAACAAAAUUUUAAAAACCACUGUGUGGUGCUUAUAAUCCCAUGGAGAUGGCACCUCGUCCCUCCUCUUGUGGAGUGUUGCAUGCUGUGUAGUUACUCAUUUGCAUGAUGAUUUGGUUGUCAGUUUUUUCCUCUUAUGUAAGAUCCACAAGGACUGUGUCAGAUUUGCUAACCAUCGUUGACCCCAGUGUAGCACUCACACAGUGCCAACUUGCAAAAGAUGCUAAAUAUUCAACAAAUGCACCAAUUAAUAAACUCUCCAGCUUCAUGAUUGAAUUCUGGACCUCAAACAACUGUUCCUAAGCCCUCAGAACCUAUAAUGUGUGUGCGUGCUUGGGAAAUUCUAAUGAGUGUUUCUCUUCAUCCCAUUCAGUCUCUUGCACAGCCACAGCAGAGUAAAACAGUAUGGUAAGGAAAAAGGUGGCCCUGAGUUAGAUUUCCUGAGCUGUCCUUAGCUCCCAGUUGUGCAGAAGCUGCAUCAAGAGCUGGUGACCUUACCAUGGGGCCUUCUGUGAGCCCUGGAUGAGUGGCCCCACAGUAGUGCUUGGAGUAGACCAGCUAGCCAGCUGGAGAAAGUGGUGAGAAGUCCAAGCUGCUGCAGCAAGAACUGAAAUGAGGCAGGGUUGGUAAGAGAGGAAUUCCCCAUCCCACCCCUGCCAUGUUUCUUCAUUGCCUGCCUUGAAGUUGCUGAACUGGUAGUUGCCAGUUUCAGCAUCGGAAGCCAGUAGCACCAAGGUGAAGGGGAGCAUUGUCUGUAGACCAGCAGAUUGCAUCCAGAGACAAGAACCAAGCCAAGGUCACACCCUCCACCCAGCACCAUGAGAAUAGUCAAACACAUGCUCGUGCAUCAAUCAACACAUCAGAAGGAUGCCAAAUAAGUUUCUAAACUGGCUGGUUACCCUGCCAUGGUACAGGUGAAAAUGGUCAUCGAUAAGGGAAUGGAUGACCACAGAGAAAGAACUCUAACCACAGCUACAUCAGGACAGCCCAGGGGAAAAGUGCCCAAUUGUGCUACUUGGAUCACACAAAGCUGGAAAAUCCCAUGUCAUUCCUCCUGGGAAGGCAAACGCGGAUCUCACCCAUUUCCUUGUCUUGCUGGAUUCUUCAUUCCUCUUCUGUUGGAGAACUGGCUAGACUCCCCAUUCCAGAUGAGCCAGGGACACAGGGGCCCCUUUUCCCAUACAUUUUGGGAGAGAUGCAGGGAUGGGAAGGGCUACCUGAAAGAGUUUGUUUUUUCUUUUUUAUAGUCAUAUUACUGAGAUAUUUACAUACAAUAAAAUCUUAGAUUUUAAGUGUAUAGUUUGAAUUUUGGCAAACAUACUUGUGUAACCACCACCUCAAUCAAGAUGUAGAACAUUUCCACCACUACAGCAGUUGUCAGUCCUGAAGGAGUGCACAUUUUUAUCCAAGAAAGAUUGAGCCCCAAAGUAACCCACAAAAUGAUUAGAUUGAAACAGACUUAAACAUGGUAGGACUCAGGUAGAUUUUCUUCUGACAUAUUCAGCGUCAGAGCCUAGGAAGAAGACCAGACUAAUUAUAGACGAAAUAAAGUGGCUACGUUUUGUCUGUACGUCCCGUCCUAAUUCAGGCGUGGGCUUCUCACCACUUUCUCUAUCUGGCUAGCUGGUCUACUCCAAGUCCUACUAUCCAGGGCUCACAGAGGGCCACCAGCCCUUGAUGGCUGUGAGCUAACUUUGUGUCCUUGUUGUAUUUGAGAAGUUGAAGGCUUUGGUAAGGGAAAUUAAGAGAAUUGGGACACAGAGACUGGAACUGGGCAGAAGAGAACAUUUAGGUAUAGAGGUAGGUAAGGGAAAAGUCGGUGAUCAGAGAAGUAUUGUGUGACUCCAAAGCCAGUGCUCCCACAGGCUAACGGGCGCAGACACACUCUACCUUUUCCUAGUCAUAGGCAACAACAGAGGGCCACACAGCCUUUCUACUGGGUGCUUGUGCAGCAUUCAACCACGUGCUUAUGCACUCAUGGGGAGCAUGAAGCUCUGACAUUCUCCUCAGUGCAAUUCGAGGUGAUGACUUGGGUGGACUUGCAGCAAUGAGCCAGACAAUAAGCACCGAUUGUGCAGUCUUUGUGAUCCACGUUAAACUGAGCUCAGUAGAAAAUGUUCAUACAUUUGCACUCAUAGAUUUGCCAAAUGAUUGUGGUGCCUAAGAUGUUGGGCUAGGAGUUGUGUAUGUGUGUGUUUGCGGGGAGGGGCCAGGUGGUAGGACCAAAAGUGAAAGAGCCAGCUGAUGCCCUUGAGGAGUAAUGCUCCAGUAGGAAAGGUUAGACUUGUAUAUAAAUAACUACAGGGCCAAGUUAAAGGUUGUAAGUGCUACAGCAGAGACAAAGAUAGAAUGCUGGGGGUGGGGAAACUGGAAAGAGAAACUGAUUUGUGCUCAUCCUUGCCCGGUGGACAGGUUCACAAAAAUAACUUCAUGCAAUUCUCCAAACAACCUUAAGAUGGAUAUUUAUAAUAAAGGACACUGAAGUUUAGGGAUAGCAAGUGACAUCCCAUUCCAGAUCACAUAGGCAGGAAAUGACAGAGCCAGGAUUCCAAUCCAGUAUUUCUAACUCAAAAGCCCAUGUUUUAGGUUGGGCAUGGUGGCUCAUGCCUGUAUCGAGGUUGAGGUGGGUGAAUCACCUGAGGCCAGGAGUUUGAGACCAGCCUGGCCAACAUGGCAAAACUUCAUCUCUACUAAAAACAAAAAAAUGAAAUAAAAUAAAAAUUAGCCGGGCGUGGUGGCACAUGCCUGUAAUUCCAGCUAUUUGGGAGGCUGAGGCAGGAUACUUGCUUAAACCUGGGAGGUGGAGAUUGUAGUGAGCUGAGAUUGGACGACUGCACUCUAGCCUGGGCGACAGAGUGAGACUCCAUCUCAAAAACAAAAUAAAAAAGCCAAUGUUUUAUUCCCUGUACCCGUGGUCUCAAACUGGGGAACCUAAUCCAGAUGUAUUCAAAGAUAUUUCAAAGGGUAUGUGGGCACAGAUAGUUUUAAGGAUAUGGUCAAUUUUGUCUUCCAAACCUGGCUUAAACGUCAUUUCCCACCCACUUGCUUUUGCUUUUCUGGUAUCUUGCCUCGCCCCUUGGAAGGAGGAGUCUGUGUCUCUUCCCCUCAAUGCUGGGUGAGCCUCUGAAACAUGUUAACUGGGAGUUGGCAGAGUGAAGCUGCGUGGCUUCUGAGGUGAGGUCACACAGGCAAUACACCUUGCUCCUGGCUUGCUCUCAGGAUGCUUGCUUUUGGAGCCCACUUACACCGUAGUUAGGAAGCCCAGGCACCAUGGGAGGCCCGCAUGAAGGCCCUGUGUCGGGGGCCCGCAACACCACUCCAGGUUAGACGAUUCAAUGCUGGGACUCACAGGACUCAGUGUGUGGUUGUGGUUUAUUUAUUACAGUGAAAUGAUAUAAGGGAAAAUCAGCAAAGGGAAAAGGCACACAGCAAAGUCAGGAGGAAACAAGACAAAAGCUUCUAAUAGUUCUUUCCCAGGGCAGUCCCAGAGGACACAUUUAAUCUCUCCAGCAACCAGUUGUAACCACGUAUUAGUCUGUUUUCAUGCUGCUGAUACAGACAUACCCAAGUCUGGGUAAUUUAUAAAGAAAAAGGGGUUUAAUCGACUCACAGUUUCACGUAGCUGGGGACGCCUCACAAUCACAGUAGAAGGCGAAAGACAUGUCUUACAUGGUCAUAGACAAGAGAGAUUGAGAGCCAAGUGAAAGGGGUUUCCCCUUAUAAAACCAUCAGAUUGGCCGGGCAUGGUGGCUCACGUCUGUAAUCCCAGCACUUUGGGAGGCCAAGGUGGGUGGAUCAUGAGGUCAGGAGUUCAAGACCAGUCUGGCCAAGAUGGCGAAACCCUGUCUCUACUGAAAAUACAAAAGUUAGCCAGGCGCAGUGGCAGGCGCCUGUAAUCCCAGAUACUCAGGAGGCUGAGGCAGGAGAAUUGCUUGAACCGAGGUUGCAGUGAGCCAAGAUUAGUCACUGCACUCCAGCCUGGGUGAUAGUGGGUGAUAGGGUGAAACUCCAUAGUCUCAAAAAAAAAAAAAAAAAAACAAAACCCAUCAGAUCUCAUGAGACUCAUUUACCACCCCAAGAAUAGUAUGGGGGAAACUGCCCCCGUGAUUUCCACCGGCUCUCUCCCACAACAUGUGGGAAUUAUGGGAGCUGCAAUUCAAGAUGAGAUUUGGGUGAGGACACAGUGAAACCAUAUAAAACCACAUGUGUGAAAUGUUGUCUAUCAGGAAAGGGCUUAUCGGCACAGUGCCUGAGGUUCUUAUCGUGGUCUAGUCAUGUAGGUACUCCUUGCCUAGCACAUUUUUGGUAGAAGUAGUUUAAGCACGGUGAACCACUAGUAGGCUGGUGGGAAUCCUCUCCAGAUUCCCUUUCCUAAAUACCAGCCAAAGACCAAACAGGUCUUUCUAAGGAUAGCAACCAGACUUGCUAUUUAAUUCUUCUCUUCACAGGGCCCAGUCUCUGGCCUCCAUCCUGACUGAGAUCCUAGUUGACAGCAGGCAAAAAUGUACCGUCUGUAAGUUGGAGCCACCUUAGAGUCAGACUCCCCCAUCUGUGGUUGAGCCACACCUGCUGACACCACGUGGAGCAGGGACAAGCUUUGCUCACUGAACCCUGCCCAAAUUAUAGAACUGUGAGCAGAGUAAAUGACUCUGAUUAUUUUAGGCUACUAGGUUUGGGGUUGUUUGCUAUGCAGCAAGAGAUAGGGGGUUGUUUUCCAGAUUCUAAUCCUCUAUAGAUACUCUUCUAAAAUUGAUCAUGAUAGGAAGCUGGGAUCAAGACAGUGCUUUCAUAAAGCCUAUUUUUUCAUUUUUCAAAGUAAAGGUGUGUCCCCACCCUAGCUGGCUUCUGCCAGGCUUCCUUGUCCUAGAUCAGGGGUCAGAAAACUUUACCUGGAAAGGGCUACAUAGAACAUAUUUUAGAAUUGUGGGCUACAUGCUGUCUCCUGUGUGUGUUGGGGAUGUUUUACAACCUUUUCAAAAAUAUGGAAACCAUUCUUAACCUGAGAGCUGCGUGAAAGCAGGCCAGGCAGGAUUUGAUCAGCACAAACUGGUUUGCUAACCCCUGUCUUACGUAAUUAAAAAGGCAAAUGUCAACAACAAAAACCCCAAACCAGCAAACAAACGAAGCAAAACCUCCAGUGCAGCAACCAAAGGACAAUUUGAAAUGAUGUUAAUAGUGAAAUAGAGCAUGACUCACACGUUUGGGUAACAGAAUCUUUUGCAAGCCAGGUGGUUUCUAAUUAUCUGCUUCCAACUGUAUUAAAGGAGAAUCUCAUCAAGUUUUUCGCUGGUAGAUCUUUAACAAUAAUUUUGGAUAUCAGAUCUCUGUGGUUGUUGAUCUAGAACUUGGAAGGGAUUCAGAAAAUUAAGUAAAAUUGCAAUUACAAAAUUCAUUUCUACUUACUUAUGUCAUCAAUAUUGUUUGCUUAUGUCUAUAAAAAAAUGAAAAUAGGAACAGCAUUCACUUAGAAGCCUGUCUCAUUCUAGUAAUUAGUAAUAUUAACCAAAAACAAAUGAACGAACAAACAAAGCACACCAGAAGUAUUUGGAAUAAAAACGAGUUCUAUCUUAUUAAGAUAUAUGUUAAAUAAAAUUUUACUUUUUAAAAUAAUGAUUUCACAAAAUUUAUAUAUAUUUAUGUUAGCUUUCCAAUAGUCUACUACCACUAAUUGUCAUGAUAACUCAACUCAGAGUAAAAUUUUUAAACACUCAGAGCCUAGUAGUCACAGGAGAUUUAAAUAAAUUUCUAUUUCAAUUUCUAGGCAUAUUUGCAGCAGAGAUAUGUGAGAAAGUAAUCAAUAAAAUUGGAAUAAAAUAUAUUAGCAUAACAUUUUGCUGGAGUAGUAGAAUAGAAAUAAAAGUUCAAAAAGAAAAAAGAAUACAGAAUUUUCUGUUGUCAAGAAGAGCUUAUUUUAAUUAAUUAAUUAGUUAAUUAAUUGAGUCUCACUGUUAUCACCGAGGCUGGAGUGCAGUGGCGCAAUCACGGCUCACUGCAACCUCCCCCUCCCAGGUUCAAGCAAUUCUCCUGCCUCAGCUUCCUGAGUAGAUGGGCUUUCUGAGUAGACAGGCAUGCCCCACCACGCUCAGCUAGUUUUUAGUAGAGAUGGGGUUUUACCAUGUUGGCCAGGCUGGUCUCAAACUCCUGACCUCACUGCCCACUUUGGCCUCCCGAAGUGCUGGGAUUACAGGCAUGACCUCGCCAAUUUUUGUAUUUUUAAAAAUAAAUCAUGGUGGCUCUCAUAUUCCUAUGGUUUUUAGAUUCCACUGGAUAUAUUUAAAGAAGUGAUGUGACAUUUAAAAAAUGUCAAUAUUUACAAUAUACCAGGCAAGCAGUUCUCAAAGUGUGGUCCCUGAGCCAGCAGCAUUGACACCACUUGGGAACUUUAUAGAAAUGCAAAUUCUCAGGCCCUACCCAGACCCACUGAAUCAGAAACUCUGAGAACUGGUGGGCUUUAACAAGCCCUCAUGUGAUUCUGAUAUAUGUUGAAGUUUGAAAACUACUGCAUCAAAAAUUACAUAUUUUGCAGCUACUUAAACUGAUAAAGAAAAUAUUUUUAUGUUAAUUUAAAAUGUGUAAGGAGACACAUUUUGGUCUCCUUACACAUUUCUGGCCUCACAAGAAAAUUAUUUGAGGAAUAUACAAGCAAAAAUGUCUGAGUACCACUACACCAUACUGCACCUCUUUACAUCUUUAGACUCAAGAGAGUUUUUUUCCCUCUGAGGAAAACAUGGAUGGGGACACACAUGAAAGAUGGUGUCACAUGGAACUGGAUAGGACUUGGAUACACAGGAGAGAGAAGAACACUGCAGGCAGAGAGAAGAGUGUGAAAAAGGCUCAGAGGUGGGAAAGCGCAGGUGUGAGUGAGGGAAGAGUUGGGCUGGGCUGGAGCAGGAGUGUGGGUAGAGAGUAGUUGGUACUAAAUUUGCAAAGACAAGAUUGCAGUGAUGAUGCCAAAACUUUAUUUGGAGCAGGAGAGAGAUGUGGUCAGUGUUGUGAAUUGGAGCUAGCCUGGAUUGGCUUAGGUGGGAGAGACUGGAGGCAGUGCAAGUAGAUGCUAGAGCCAUACCCUGGAGCCUGUCUUCACUCUCAGAGGGUUGCCAUGAGCUGGAGCGGUUCUUGCCCGCCAUCACUGAAAAAUGCAGGUAGUGCCACCCACCCCAGAGAGACUGGCACACCCUAGGGACAGAGAGCAUCGUGUUGCUGUUCUGAGGCAGCUGUGGCCCAUCUGUCGUUUUGGGCUUUCGCCUGUUGCCACGUAUUAAAGCCUUGCCAUUCCCUAAAUAGUGAUCACGCUCACCUCCUGAGGUCAAUGAGAUGACUGCAAAGUGCCAGGAGUUGCUCAGGCAGAAGGAAUUCACGAACUCUUGGAGCACAUUACUGUUAUCUUUGUUUCUGUUUAACCAAGGACGCACCAGGGAGCAAGGGCAUUACAUCACCAAAGCAAUCUCCCAUUGGCUGUCCAUUUCCCAAGGGGCGGGUUUUCUUUCCAGUUGUUUACUUCUCCUAAGUAUUACAUGCAACACAGAGGCAAGUCCUGUCACUUCAGUUUCCAGAUUCAGGGCCUCUGAUGUCAUUAGGUUACAGCAAGAGAGUGAGAUAACACAAUGAUGGUAAAUUUUAGUUGACAGAAUUGAUGUACCUUAGAGUAGGAUGCUCUGAGCUUCAUAUUUACUCCUUUCAGGCUGAUUUCAAUGCUGCAUUACUACAUUAAUUCAUAAUGCAGGAUACACGAGGAACAAAGAUAAUAAAAUUAUGACACCAGCUUUUCUACUUAGUAUCAUAUAAAACAUUACUACAUUAAUUCAUAAUGCAGGAUACACGAGGAACAAAGAUAAUAAAAUUAUGACACCAGCUUUUCUACUUAGUAUCAUAUAAAAUGCAAUGCAAAUGAAUUGGUUCUGUCGGUGCAUUUUAUCACAGAGCUUCAACAUACAGUUCCUGCGAGGAUUCCCUUCCAUGUUUUUGUGAGUCUCAGUUGCCAUCCUAGUUUGUUUGUUUGUUUUUUUUAGAUGGAAUCUCACUCUGUUGCCCAGGCUAAAGUGCAGUGGUGCGAUCUCGGCUCACUGCAACCUCUGCCACCCCGAGUAGCUGGGAUUACAGGUGCCCGCUACCACACCCAGAUAAUUUUUGUAUUUUUAGUAGAGACGGGGUUUCACCACAUUGGCAAGGCUGGUCUUGAACUCCUGACCUCAGGGGAUCCACCUGCCUCAGCCUCCGAAAGUGAUGGGAUUACUGGCGUGAGCAACCGCACCCGGCCACCAUACUAGUUUUUAUUAUUUGCCUCAUUUCUUGAAGAUUAGUAACUGAACUGAUUUAUUAAAAUGUCUUAUACAAUUAUGUUGAAGAAAAGAAGGAACUUGUCACAAUUGCUUUUCUCUAGACUUGAAUUUGAUGUUCCUUUUGGAUGAGAAGCAGAGUUAAAAACGAAUACCUCAUUUUUUUUGGCAGUUAAAAAUCAACAUAAUUCAAAAGUGGAGUUUUGCUUAAUCCAUCAAUCCCAACCAUUUGAUGGAAAAAAUAUAAAUAAUAAAAUUUCAAAGGGAUUUUAUUUUAAAAUAGCCACCGGGCAUGUACAGUAAUAAAAUUUUUAAUGGCUAUUUUAUUUUUCAUUUCUGAGUUCAUUUUUAGUGAAAUUACUUGCUGGUGAACAGAACCAGAGUGAUAGCCUGAGAGAGAAAAUUCAUUCUUUUCUGAAAUAACAGAAAGCAUCAUCCUCUGGUGAUAUAGAACCUUUCUCUCAGCAGCCUCACCCAGUCUCCUGCACAUUCCCUCGGGGCUGGUGGUGGGAGCAUUACCUUGCCUGCUACCUGGCUGAUCUUGUAGUUAUGGAGUGAGAAACCCCUGAGAGGUGCCAACACUUUUCUGAGGACACACAGCCACUGAAUCAGGUAAAACCAGAGCCUCCAGACUUUGGGGAAGAUCUCUGCCCCACACAUGGCUCUCCUUAGAGAAUUGUACACCAAGCAGCUUCACAUUUUUCAGUCGUUAGAGAUACGGAGGCUUCAGGGAAAUGAAGGCCUCCUAGCCUCACAACAUGCAAGGAUCUGCCCCAGGAUGGGUGAUUUUCUCUCACUCACGCUAGUCUUCAUGGAGCAUAGACAAAACUGCAACAAUGUCCAAAGGAACUCUUCAAUAAAAUUGUGUUUUAUGUAUAGGCUCA